UUCUUUUCUGGUUGGUGGUUGUGAAAUGCACGGUGUGGUGGUAAAGGUCCAGGAGCCUGGCAUUUCUUGAAUUUGGACUUGGGCCAGAUGUGAAGUGGGAAAUAAGAUCAUCAACUGAACAUAAGGAUGGGUGAGGCUUAAGGAGAGAGAAGCGCUGAAGUGGGAAAGUGAAGGCACUACGGAAAUGCAAUUUCUGAUUAGCGUUAAGGGGCCACCUGGGGUUCAACAACAAGCAGACUUAAGGUAAGACCAGUCGGUGUAGCUGUGUGUUUUUCUUUAGUCAAAUUCAGAUACUUGGUUGAAGGUAUGAAAGUUGAAGUGGAUUUAGUCAGGGUUGUGGUUUCCCAAGAAAGGACAAUACUAGAGAGGACAAGAAUUGUUGAAGGUGUAUGCAAGGACAUGAUUAUGAUCACUCAUGGAGUAAAGCUGGGAGAGGGGUGAGGCCUGGUGAAAAAGUUGUAUGAUCAAUGGAUUGGAGAUCCUGUUGAGGGAAAAUGAUAAAAGUUGGAUACCAAGGAGAAUUAUCUGGAACGACAGGAGGUGGUGGUCAGAGAGUGGGAGAUAUGAAAUGGCAUUUACGGAGGGGUUACAGUUAUUGCCAAUAGUGAACUACUCUUGUUUUUCUGGAAUAUCUUCCUUACUCAUAGUAUACUAU
Molecule: long non-coding RNA, 655 nt
Filed under: Homo sapiens (human)
Lineage: Eukaryota; Metazoa; Chordata; Mammalia; Primates; Hominidae
Description: non-protein coding lnc-ZC3H11B-5:1
Source: RNAcentral